UACGUAGGGUGCAAGCGUUGUCCGGAAUUAUUGGGCGUAAAGAGCUCGUAGGCGGUUUGUCGCGUCUGCUGUGAAAACCCGAGGCUCAACCUCGGGCCUGCAGUGGGUACGGGCAGACUAGAGUGCGGUAGGGGUGACUGGAAUUCCUGGUGUAGCGGUGGAAUGCGCAGAUAUCAGGAGGAACACCGAUGGCGAAGGCAGGUCACUGGGCCGCAACUGACGCUGGAGGAAGCGGAAAGCAUGGGGAGCGAACAGG
Molecule: ribosomal RNA, 256 nt
Filed under: uncultured bacterium
Lineage: Bacteria
Description: partial 16S ribosomal RNA
Rfam family: Bacterial small subunit ribosomal RNA
Source: RNAcentral